This 819-nucleotide transfer RNA is filed under the name Bradyrhizobium sp. Its description in RNAcentral is "partial contains 16S ribosomal RNA, 16S-23S ribosomal RNA intergenic spacer, and 23S ribosomal RNA". The stretch from base 226 to 299 matches the Rfam family "tRNA". Lineage: Bacteria; Pseudomonadati; Pseudomonadota; Alphaproteobacteria; Hyphomicrobiales; Nitrobacteraceae. The record is from RNAcentral.
GCCGUAGGGGAACCUGCGGCUGGAUCACCUCCUUUCUAAGGAUGAUCCUUCAGCGAGCUCACGCUCACUAUCGGAUCGUUUUAGAAACAUCAGUGGCCAACAGAUCGCCAGAUCGUUGAGCUGCAUUGGCGGGAUUUCGCCGUCUUCGUUUCUCUUUCUUCGCGGACGAACACGCGCUGGGCCUGCAACGGCAGGAUCCGGGGUCCUUAACGGGAUAUGCGUUAGGGGCUUGUAGCUCAGUUGGUUAGAGCGCGCGCUUGAUAAGCGUGAGGUCGGAAGUUCAAGUCUUCCCAGGCCCACCACUUUCAUCGAGUGAGCAUUCGUCUUCUGGUUACGGGGCCAUAGCUCAGCUGGGAGAGCGCGUGCUUUGCAAGCAUGAGGUCGUCGGUUCGAUCCCGUCUGGCUCCACCAGAUGGUUUGAUCGCCGAGGUCAUGCACCGUCGUCCGCGAAACAUCACUUCGCAUUCACUAGUCUGGAUAGACAGUGAACUGCGUGUUUUCUGACAUCGUAAAGAGGAGAUCGAUCCGAGUUGGGUCGUGCAGCAUAUCGUUGCGCGAGCCUUCAUUAUCUCCGGAUCAUUUUCGGCGCUCGCGUCCGACCGCAAGGUUGGCUGCGAGUUGUAAAAUGAUCCUUUUAGCGAAGCUUGACCGCCUCGCUAUCGGAACGAUCUUACGAAGCAAGCUGGUCUUUCUAGUCAAUGUCCGGCUGUACGUAGCAUUCAUCGAGGGUGCGCGCCGCAAGGCAAUCGUACAGACAACAUUCUGCCGAGUGUGUGGACAUUGAUAAUGAGAGCAAUCAAGUGCCUUAAGGGUGUUCGG